CUGUUGAUCUCUGUGAGGAGAUGCUGCAGAUCUCCAUGUUCAUGUUAGUGAAGGAGCUCCCGGCCUCACUGCCGCAUUCUGGAUAUGAAGAGCUGGAGGAUAUGAUGUUCUUCAGCCUGUGAAGAGCAAUGAUCAGCAGGGCAACCUGCCUAUCAGUGGGCUCGUAAACUGGUGCGGGUUGUUGAUAGGCCACCGCCGGUCCAUUAGGACUUUGGGGUGGUCACAUCGGCUCAGUGGUGCACACAGAAGAGAGUCUGGAGUGGAAUGGCAUAUGGAUGGAGCUUUGGAUGCAAGUGGUGGGGCAGAGCUAUGCAUGUCAAUAGGACCGAGGCGUCAUGCCUCCUGGGAAGGUCUUAUCUCUUCUGCUCUGUGCACUGAAGACACGGAACACAGCUUACGGAUCGAUGCAAAGCAAAGCAUGACUGUCACUUCUAUUAUUCAGUAUCAUGAAUGGGAUUUUUUUUCUGUAUUAAUGAAGGCUUACAUUCUUACUCAUGGAUCAUCAGUGAUUUAUCUUGAAUCAGUAGAAAACUAUCUAUUCCUCUUAAAGGGACAGUUCUCCAAAACAUUAAAUUCUCUCAUCAAGUACUCACCCUUGUGUCUUUCUGAACCUGUCAUUCAACUGUUUUUGUCCAUGUAGGACAACAGGGUUCAAAACAACAUUGAUCCCCAAUGACCUUCAGGCUACACCAUAACAAACUGUGACAUUUACUAUAAAUAGACAGA
This is a long non-coding RNA of Carassius carassius (crucian carp), 726 nucleotides long. RefSeq lists it as uncharacterized. NCBI's taxonomy places the organism in Eukaryota, Metazoa, Chordata, Actinopteri, Cypriniformes, Cyprinidae. The record is from RefSeq and is a predicted model, not a curated record. The transcript is spliced from 3 exons.